UUAAAGAUUCGACCAAAUUCUAACAAUAACUAAAACUAAAAUGUGUGGAUCCACUACCAAAUAAGUUCAAUCCUAACAUUCAAAUGAGUUAACACUUGUAUUAAAAUUAUCAUCCGAAGAUAAUCAAAAUGCUAAGUACAAUAGUUCUAUAUAAAGUCAAAAGAAAAUAAAAAUGACAAAAAACUACCACAAACCAAAAAAAACUCAAGUCUUUGCCCUUGUAAAGCUGAGCUACCUCGUGAUACUUUGACUUGAAUGGGUACUCUUACGACUUCUUUUGUGCUUCUUGCUCGAAAUUAGACUUGAUGCUGAAUCAACAUCUUGCAUGGCUAACCAAAACAGGUCAUACACUAUGUACUCGUGGCUGACAGAAGCUAGACUCCUGCAAUAUUCAAGACAUGCAGAUCAGCAAAGACUUGAAAUAAUAUCACUUAAUCAGUGAUAAAAAAAAUUAAGAGAACAAAUACGAGUAGUACCUUUAGGCAACUAAACCAUGACAAAAAUAUAGGGCAAUAUCUAGUCAAGGUAGGAAACCAAUAAUUGAAUAGUCAUGCGGAGAUAUGAUACACAGGAAAGCUUAUAACUAAUACAUAAACUGGUUACAUGUAAAUUUGUGAAGAAUAUGCGAGUUAUGUCCCAGCAUGAUCUAAUAGCCUAAUAGAGUAAUUACAGAAGAAUAAAUCUUAAGGAUAACUUAAAAAGGAAAAAAAAGAAAAAGAAAAAGAAAAAAAAGACCUGAAAGCCUUUGACUUAAUCCUCAUGAUCACUAGAAUGCAUAUCCAAUGCAUAUCAAGUUAACUGUAUGCUAAAAAUAUUCCACUCCACAGGAUGAUGAUAAAAUAAUAAUGUGCUGUAAGUAAUACGACGGAUUACCUUUCCCACUAUCUCCAAUAAAACAGCAACAGCAGGCUCUUGUAAGUACCGUUUCUUAGCUGCAAGAUCAAUAAGACAUUUGUUAAAUUCUUUGAUGAGUGCACUACUAUUAUCUGAUAUCCAUUCUUCAGUAAGCUUUCCCGAUCUUGCAAGAGCUCCAUAUGCAAAUAAACGGCCCAGUAAGCAGUCUUUAACCUCCUAUAAAUAAAAGGCUCUACAUAAAUAAAAUAUAAAUCUCAAUUACAGACUUCAUGAGAAGGGACCAAUACUCACCUGACCCCCUUCAUGGAAGAAGAGACCUCCAGCAAAGUUGUAAUUAGCUUUAAUAAGGACUCUAAUUUAAUGCUAUGAACCAUGCCAACUAACAUUGUAAGACCAAGUGCAAACCCUUGUCUAGCACACUGCAACAGAAGAGUAUAGGAAAAGUGAAGAACAUAUAGUAUAUAGGACGCUAAUAAGAAAGCGUAUUUGAAGAGGUGAAGCCUAAAUAUACGAACACAAAAUCUUCAUUGGGCCAUAUGAAACAUGUCUCUUCAUUCAUAACUAAGUUAAAGUAGCAAUAAAGUAACUCUCCAAGAACAUUCUUGGCAACUUUCUCUGCAUAUUCAGAUAUGGUGUUACUGGGGUUUCUAGUGCCAGUUGGAUAUGAAACAUUAAUAAGCAAAAAACAAUUAUAAAUUAUCAAAUCUCCAAGUCCCAAACCUGCUCCAAUAAUUAUAGUUAAAUCUGCAUCACAUCAAAAGGUUUUCGAGUCUUAGUCAAUCGAUAUAACACCUCUAAGGCCAACUUAAACCACAAAACAAAAGAAUAAAUGAUGGCUUAUCUGACAUAAGUAUGUUCAAGAUAAUCUCUUACUAUUACCAGAUAAUCUUAACCCAUCAAUGCUCACAAUUUCAAUAUUCACAACCACACUAAUGAGUAUUUGGUUAACUACGUUACGCAUCCUAGUCUUUGAUAAAUCGUUAAAUGGCAGAAAAUCAAUUAAGGAGAAAACCGAAAAAUAAUAUACGGAAUGGCAAAAUGAUUCAAUUUUAACAUGAAGUUUUUGCACAAUUUAAAAUGCAAAAACCUGAAACAACAAACAUCAGAUACCAAAGUAGGAAGUCCAUUCAACCAUCCACUGAAUAUAAAUUCCAAACAAAAGCAAAAUCUUUCUUCUUCAAGCUAAAUCAAAACAAGGAUGAGCAAUGGAUUAAUGAAUCACGAAAAACAACAGGAAUCAACAACAAUUACAAAUUGAGUAGGAUGAAAUAAUACCUCGGAAGUGAAUAGUUAGAAUUGCGGAGAGACGACGAGCUGAAGUCAGAGUGGAGCAGCAUGCUGAAUCCGAAGGAGCAAGAGUGCUAAGAGGAACUGAAUCGAACUCGAGCUAGGGCUGGCCACAUCCAGCGUCUCUCUCUCUCUCUCUCUCAGAAAUCUCUCUUCUCUCUCCCAAGCCGCCGACCACCUCCAGCAAGACCGGCGGCGCUUCGCCAGCGGUUCUUCACCCCCACCAUCAUCUGCAUCUGUCGACUCUCCCUCUCAACAUCUCGCCCGACUCUCUCGGUCUCCAUCUCCUCUCUCGCCAUGAACAGCUGCAGCCGCAGCCGCUCUUCCACGGCUGCCGCGUCGCCGCCCCCUUCUCCAUCUCUUCGCCGACUCUUUCUCCAUCCCCAUCCCCCAAUUGGUCAAACCCCCAGAUAGAAACCCAAAAUCUCUCUCUCAAGACCCCAAUUAGAAAACUACCCUCUGCCUCUUCCUCUCACUCAUCCGCCUGCCGCCACCGUUUACCAUAGCAGCGGCUUCGAUAGGGUUUGGUGAUUGGAGAAGGAGCAGCGGAAUGGGAUUUGGGGGAAAGCAGACGGGAGAGAGAGCUAGUGAUUGGUGGUUUGGGGAAAUUAGAUUAGAUU
Molecule: long non-coding RNA, 2762 nt
Filed under: Salvia miltiorrhiza (redroot sage)
Lineage: Eukaryota; Viridiplantae; Streptophyta; Magnoliopsida; Lamiales; Lamiaceae
Description: long non-coding RNA (SMIL_LNC010555)
Source: RNAcentral